UCCCCGAUGGUGUAGCGGUAACAUAACUGGUUUUCAAAGAAAACUCUAAGUGAUCUAUAUCACCCAGUAGCUCCGGGUUCAACUCCCGGUCGAGGAA
This is a transfer RNA of Exophiala mesophila, 97 nucleotides long. It matches the Rfam family "tRNA". From Rfam's summary of the family: Transfer RNA (tRNA) molecules are approximately 80 nucleotides in length. The record is from Rfam. NCBI's taxonomy places the organism in Eukaryota, Fungi, Ascomycota, Eurotiomycetes, Chaetothyriales, Herpotrichiellaceae.